This 900-nucleotide ribosomal RNA is filed under the name anoxygenic photosynthetic bacterium Gj13. RNAcentral describes it as "partial 16S ribosomal RNA". The stretch from base 351 to 900 matches the Rfam family "Bacterial small subunit ribosomal RNA", at positions 1 to 846 of the family's 1533-position model. The record is from RNAcentral.
CAAGUCGAGCGCAGGGAAAUUGCUGUCGUGGACAUUUGCGUAUGCAGUGACACGGUGUGGAAAUCAUUCCCUGUUGCGACCGUGAACUUGAAUAUCAGGGGAGAAAUAGACCGUCUCACGUAAACGGGAAUAAUUACCUUGCGGGCCAUAAAAGUACUUUUGAAGGCAAUCGUUCGGAUGACCAAUUGGAGUUAAUCUCAGCUUGUCUAGUAGUGGGACUCGCGCCGCACGCCAAUUACGCAUAGAUUGGAUGAGGUUGAACGGGCAUCAGGCAUGGUCAACCCAUGACGUGAGGCCCUGCCUGCACAGGGCUGAAUACGUCCCUACAGUUGAGGACAUGCAGACACGGGAAUCAUUACUCCAUACGGGGGAGCGCACGCCAUGUGUCGCGAAAUAUUGCCACAAUGGGUGGAAAACCCGUGCAUGCAGGCUUGCUACCAGCGUUGUUUUGAUGAAGGACCUAUCGGUGUUGUAAACCCUCUGUAAUUCAGGCGCCGGAUUAUGUUCGUGCCUGCAGGAGGAAGCCACAGCGCUAACUACCUGCCAUUCAUCCGCAAGUCAAUACGUAGGUGGCAAGAGUUGUCCGGAUUUACUGGUCGUAAAUGAAGCGUAGGCGGUUACUUAAGUGGUUUGUGUAAUACCUGGCCUUAAUUUGGUUGCUGACAUUCCUGACUGAAUUUCUAGAGUGUUGGAGAGAUAAAGUGGAAUUCCUAAUGAACACCGUGAAAUGCAUGCGAGAUUACUGAAGAACACCCUGUGGCCUAAGGCUACUUUCUGGAGCGAUAACUGACGCUAGUAUGCUCACCCAUGCGUGGGCCAGCCAACUAGAUUAUGAUACGCUGGUAGUCCACGACGUAGAUCAUGGGUACUACGUGUACGGGUAUCGACUCCCCCCUGUGC